This 566-nucleotide ribosomal RNA is filed under the name uncultured Chloroflexota bacterium. RNAcentral describes it as "bacterial SSU rRNA". It matches the Rfam family "Bacterial small subunit ribosomal RNA", at positions 336 to 918 of the family's 1533-position model. The record is from RNAcentral. Lineage: Bacteria; Bacillati; Chloroflexota.
UUCCUACGGGAGGCAGCAGUAGGGAAUAUUGCACAAUGGGCGAAAGCCUGAUGCAGCAACGCCGCGUGCACGAUGAAGGCCUUCGGGUCGUAAAGUGCUUUUCGGGGAGAUGAGGAAGGACAGUAUCCCCGGAAUAAGGAUCGGCUAACUACGUGCCAGCAGCCGCGGUAAAACGUAGGAUCCGAGCGUUAUCCGAAUUUACUGGGCGUAAAGCGCGUGUAGGCGGUUUGGUAAGUUGGAUGUGAAAGCUCCCGGCUCAACUGGGAGACGUCGUUCAAUACUGCCAGGCUAGAGGAUGGUAGAGGGAGGUGGAAUUCCCGGUGUAGUGGUGAAAUGCGUAGAUAUCGGGAGGAACACCAGUGGCGAAGGCGGCCUCCUGGGCCAUUCCUGACGCUCAGACGCGAAAGCUAGGGGAGCAAACGGGAUUAGAAACCCCGGUAGUCCUAGCUGUAAACGAUGUGGACUUGGAGGUUGUGCCCUUGAGGCGUGGCUUCCGGAGCUAACGCGUUAAGUCGACCGCCUGGGGAGUACGGCCGCAAGGUUAAAACUCAAAUGAAUUGACGGAA